CACGUAUUUAGCCGGGGCUUCCUCCUAUGAUACCGUCAUUAUCUUCUCAUAGGGCAGAGCUUUACGAUUCGAAAACCUUCUUCGCUCACGCGGCGUCGCUGCAUCAGGGUUCCCCCCAUUGUGCAAUAUUCCCCACUGCUGCCUCCCGUAGGAGUUUGGACCGUGUCUCAGUUCCAAUGUGGCCGUUCAUCCUCUCAGACCGGCUACUGAUCGUCGCCUUGGUAGGCCUUUACCCUCAACUAGCUAAUCAGACGCGAGCCCUUCUUACACCGAUAAAUCUUUGACCCCUAUAUCAUGCGAUUCUGUGGUCUCAUGCGGUAUUAAUCGUCGUUUCCAACGGCUAUCCCCCUGUGUAAGGUAGGUUGCUCACGUGUUACUCACCGUUCGCCUACUUUCAUUUCAUUUCCAUUCCCGAAAGUAAUUUCCAACAAAAUCACGUUCGACUUGCAUGUGUUAAGCACGCCGCCAGCGUUCGUCCUGUAGCCAGGAUACGAAACUCU
RNAcentral lists this ribosomal RNA (500 nucleotides) under uncultured Parvimonas sp. RNAcentral describes it as "partial 16S ribosomal RNA". The record is from RNAcentral. Lineage: Bacteria; Bacillati; Bacillota; Tissierellia; Tissierellales; Peptoniphilaceae.